This 497-nucleotide ribosomal RNA is filed under the name uncultured bacterium. RNAcentral describes it as "partial 16S ribosomal RNA". It matches the Rfam family "Bacterial small subunit ribosomal RNA", at positions 28 to 507 of the family's 1533-position model. The record is from RNAcentral.
GACGAACGCUGGCGGCGUGCCUAAUACAUGCAAGUAGAACGCUGAAGAGAGGAGCUUGCUCUUCUUGGAUGAGUUGCGAACGGGUGAGUAACGCGUAGGUAACCUGCCUUGUAGCGGGGGAUAACUAUUGGAAACGAUAGCUAAUACCGCAUAACAAUGGAUGACACAUGUCAUUUAUUUGAAAGGGGCAAUUGCUCCACUACAAGAUGGACCUGCGUUGUAUUAGCUAGUAGGUGAGGUAAUGGCUCACCUAGGCGACGAUACAUAGCCGACCUGAGAGGGUGAUCGGCCACACUGGGACUGAGACACGGUCCAGACUCCUACGGGAGGCAGCAGUAGGGAAUCUUCGGCAAUGGGGGCAACCCUGACCGAGCAACGCCGCGUGAGUGAAGAAGGUUUUCGGAUCGUAAAGCUCUGUUGUAAGUCAAGAACGGGUGUGAGAGUGGAAAGUUCACACUGUGACGGUAGCUUACCAGAAAGAGACGGCUAACUACGUG